Long non-coding RNA from Macadamia integrifolia, 757 nucleotides. RefSeq lists it as uncharacterized. NCBI's taxonomy places the organism in Eukaryota, Viridiplantae, Streptophyta, Magnoliopsida, Proteales, Proteaceae. The transcript is spliced from 4 exons. The record is from RefSeq and is a predicted model, not a curated record.
AGAGAGAGAGAGAGAAACCUUGGAUGUUAGAAAGGCGGAGAGCAACUUUAAGAUUCACUUUUUCUUCUUGUAUCAAAGUUGCUAAAGAUAAAAUCUCAGGAUCGAUUCUCUAGAUGGACAAAAAAGAAAAGCACCAAUAACAAUGAAAAGUCUGAAUUGGACCAAUAUCUUGAAGAGCCAAGAAAACCAUACGAAAAAGAUUAUGAUGUUCUAGCAUAUUGGAAGUCAUGUCAAGCCCAACAUCCUGAUUUGUCUCGACUAGCUAGUGAUAUCUUGACAAUUCCUAUGUCAACGGUGGCAUCUGAAUCUGCAUUUAGUGCAGGGGGUAGGGUGCUUGAUAAAUAUCGAAGUAGAUUGGUCCCUAAAAACGUUGAAGCUUUGGUAUGCUUGCGUGAUUGGAUGUACGAUGCGACUUUUGGAGAUGAGGAGGAUGAAGAGGAAUUAUUUGAAGCUUUGGAAGAUGUGUUUUCAGAGCCGUCUACUCCUACUUUAGCAUCAUCCACCACUACUGCUGGUUUUUAUUAGUAUUUUUGUUUGUAUUUCACUUUCUCAAUGUAAUAUUUUCUUUUGCUAUUUGACUAUUUGAAUGCUAGUAAUUGUUGUUCUAUCUUGUACCUAUGGAGAUUGAAAUGCCUAUGGAAUAUGGAUGGAUGUAGACCAAGUUAGAAUUAAGUGCCCAUCCUUCAGAUUUGGGAACAUGUCCAUGUGAAUCUUUGAGACUCAACUAUAAGAAGCAAGAUUUGUGUUCUUUGUAUCA